Molecule: non-coding RNA, 29 nt
Filed under: Rattus norvegicus (Norway rat)
Lineage: Eukaryota; Metazoa; Chordata; Mammalia; Rodentia; Muridae
Source: RNAcentral
UGCGAGUUCAAUUUCCAUUUUUACAGUGC